This 264-nucleotide ribosomal RNA is filed under the name uncultured bacterium. RNAcentral describes it as "partial 16S ribosomal RNA". It matches the Rfam family "Bacterial small subunit ribosomal RNA", at positions 92 to 354 of the family's 1533-position model. The record is from RNAcentral.
UUAGUGGCGGACGGGUGAGUAACGCGUGGGUAACCUGCCUUACACAGGGGGAUAACACGUUAGAAAUAGGUGCUAAAACCGCAUAGGCGCACAGCUUCGCAUGAAGCGGUGUGAAAAACUCCGGUGGUGUAAGAUGGACCCGCGUCUGAUUAGCUUGUUGGCGGGGUAACGGCCCACCAAGGCGACGAUCAGUAGCCGGCCUGAGAGGGCGGACCGGCCACAUUGGGACUGAGACACGGCCCAGACUCCUACGGAAGGCAGCAG